UGGCAUUGCUCUGAAACUGUCGUCUACCAUU
RNAcentral lists this non-coding RNA (31 nucleotides) under Macaca fascicularis (crab-eating macaque). Lineage: Eukaryota; Metazoa; Chordata; Mammalia; Primates; Cercopithecidae. The record is from RNAcentral. RNAcentral also lists the same sequence under 1 other name.